Molecule: ribosomal RNA, 561 nt
Filed under: uncultured bacterium
Lineage: Bacteria
Description: bacterial SSU rRNA
Rfam family: Bacterial small subunit ribosomal RNA
Source: RNAcentral
ACCCAAUAGAUACCCCGGUAGUCCACGCCGUAAACGAUGCAGACUAGGUAUCAGAAGUAUCGACCCUUCUUGUACCAAAAAGCUAAACGCGUUAAGUCUGCCGCCUGGGAAGUACGGUCGCAAGACUAAAACUCAAAGGAAUUGACGGGGACUCGCACAAGCGGUGGAGCAUGUGGUUUAAAUUCGACAACAAACGAAGAACCUUACCAGGGUUUGACAUCUAGAGGACCCCGAGGAAACUUGGGGGUGCCCGCAAGGGAGCUUUAAGACAGGUGCUGCACGGUCGUCGUCAGCUCGUGUCGUGAGAUGUGGCCUUAAGUGGUCAAACGAGCGAAACCUGUGUCCUUAGUUGAUUUUCUAAGGAGACUGCCUCGGUUUACGGGGAGGAAGGCGCAGAUGACGUCAGAUCAGCGUGGCUCUUACAUCCUGGGCUACACACGUGCUACAAUGGCAGUUUAUAAAAAGACGCAAGACCGCAAGGUGGAGCAAAUCUACUAAAAACUGCCCAGUACGGAUUGAGGGCUGAAAUUCGCCCUCAUGAAGCCGGAAUCGCUAGUAACC